GCUAGCGGAACUUCCUAAAGCCGCCUGCGUCCUGUGGGUAACGUAGAAGUCAGCACAUCCUGUACA
This 66-nucleotide small RNA is filed under the name Bacilli bacterium VT-13-104. RNAcentral describes it as "Bacillaceae-1 RNA". It matches the Rfam family "Bacillaceae-1 RNA". Lineage: Bacteria; Bacillati; Bacillota; Bacilli. The record is from Rfam by way of RNAcentral.